RNAcentral lists this ribosomal RNA (686 nucleotides) under uncultured bacterium. RNAcentral's name for it is "bacterial SSU rRNA". It matches the Rfam family "Bacterial small subunit ribosomal RNA", at positions 97 to 765 of the family's 1533-position model. The record is from RNAcentral.
GGCGAACGGGUGAGUAACACGUGGAUAAUCUGCCUCCGGGUUGGGGAUAACUGUCCGAAAGGAUAGCUAAUACCGAAUGAGAUGGUGGUUGCAUAAGCAGCAGCCAUUAAAGGUGGGGACCGCAAGGCCUACUGCCUGGAGAUGAGUCCGCGGCUGAUUAGCUUGUUGGUGGGGUAACGGCCUACCAAGGCGACGAUCAGUAGCCGGCCUGAGAGGGUGAACGGCCACAUUGGGACUGAGAUACGGCCCAGACUCCUACGGGAGGCAGCAGUUAAGAAUCUUGCACAAUGGGCGCAAGCCUGAUGCAGCGACGCCGCGUGAAUGAUGAAGGCUUUAGGGUUGUAAAGUUCAGUAAGCAGGGAAGAAUAAGCGUGGGGUAAUAUUCCAUGUGAUGACGGUACCUGCCUAAAGCCCCGGCUAACUACGUGCCAGCAGCCGCGGUAAUACGUAUGGGGCGAGCGUUGUUCGGAAUUAUUGGGCGUAAAGGGCGUCUAGGCGGGAAAUUAAGUUAGGUGUGAAAGCUAUGGGCUCAACCCAUAAACUGCAUCUAAAACUGAUUUUCUUGAGUUCGGGAGAGGAGAGCGGAAUUCCAGGUGUAGCGGUGAAAUGCGUAGAUAUCUGGAAGAACACCAGUGGCGAAGGCGGCUCUCUGGCCUAGAACUGACGCUGAAGCGCGAAAGCGUGGG